UUUCUGUUCAAUUCAACUAGUUCACCGAUAAGUUAGUCGAUUAGUAACGCUCAGUUUGAGGGACUUCGACUAAAAUGCUGAAAUUCUGUGUAGCAUUAUAGAAUUAAAAUCUGACUGCGAACAGAGCGUCGUAUGAAUGAAAGUCCAAGAAGAAACCGCCAAAAAGCAGUGUGUGGUUCGGCCCGUCUUGCGUGCUAAGCGUAGACUAUACUAAUCUACCGAAAAGGAUAACACGAAGAAACUCAAGAUGUCCAAAAGAUGUUGGGAGUUCCUCCCAAAGACUAAAGAAAAUUUUGCUUUUUUCAUUUUGAUUUUUGUGCCUUGCUACUGGCAACAUUGAUAGCAUGCAAAGUAAAUAUCGAUACUAUCGGUAGCCCAGCACCUCAAUUGUGUGCAGCUUUCUAGA
Molecule: small RNA, 406 nt
Filed under: Drosophila pseudoobscura pseudoobscura
Lineage: Eukaryota; Metazoa; Arthropoda; Insecta; Diptera; Drosophilidae
Description: GA31911
Source: RNAcentral